Pan troglodytes (chimpanzee) is the source of this 6226-nucleotide long non-coding RNA. RefSeq lists it as uncharacterized. The record is from RefSeq and is a predicted model, not a curated record. Lineage: Eukaryota; Metazoa; Chordata; Mammalia; Primates; Hominidae. The transcript is spliced from 5 exons.
GAAAAGAAGAACUCAGAGAGUCUUCUAUGCCACCAUAAGAACUAGGGUUUCCCCCCUGGGGGAGAUAGCAGCCACUGGGAGAUUCCAAGGAGAGGAAUGACACCGGCUAAUACUUGAACAAGAUCACUCCAUCUUGUCUUCUCUGUUGCUCCUGGACUGCAGGGGACAAGUGUGAAAGCAGGGAGACCAGCUGGGGAGCUACCACAACAGACGGAAGAACCAGAUCCAAUGAUAUGUGUAAGAAGAAUCAUUUCAGUGCAAUUGAAAGAACAGAUGCACAAUUGACUUUGUCAAGUGAUGGAAUGACCCGUCUCAAAUAAAGCCAAUGAAGUUGGUGAUGGUGAAGAUGAUGAUGAUGUUGAUGAUGAUGACACUAGUGAACAAAGGCUGGGCGAAGAGUCUGGGUCAACUGCAGGGAUGAACACUUCACAUCCACCAUUUCAUUUAAUCUUCACAACAACCCUCUGACAUGGCCAUUCUUUAUCUUCAUAUCAUCGUGAACUAAGUAAAGAUCAAAGAGUUUAAGAAACACAUAGCUGUGUGUAUCAGAGCCCAGACUUGAAGCUGGGCCUGUAGCUAGUGUUUGUGCACCAAACAUAGUCACUGUCCUGUCUCAUGAGGGAAGGAGGGUCCUGUCACUAUGGUCAUGCAAGCAGAGGACAGAGGAUGCUAAAUGGGUCACUGAGCUUCAACCAGAAUUCUUGAUCGCUGAGAAUUCCCUCAGCCAGAGACUCCAAGAGGUGAGGAACCUGCAUCUGUGUGAGGCCCAGGUCAUGUGGUAUGGCCCAUCUCCAGAGACUCUUCCUGGCCCCCUUUGCUUCCCUGCCCUCCUUUGUCACCCAAGUCACAAACGAGCUCAACAUUCCCUAGCUAGGAACAGCCCCACUGCUGGAGCAGCCAGUGACCAGCCCCAUCGGAACUCUUCCCCACUUCCCUGGAAUGUCUCCCCCAGCUAUACCUUUGAGCACCUUCCACUGGGCCUCCCAGGCUGCCAUUGCAGUUUCCUCUCCCUCCCUGAGAAUCCCCAUGGGAGAGGAAUAACAGAGCAUCAGGAAGGCGUUUCAAAUAGCAUCAUGUCACAGGAAGAGUGUUGGCCUGUGGUCAAACACAUGCAGAUCUGAACUUCAGUUCAACUCCAUUUUGUAACCUUGGUCCAAUUGCCCACUGGGUCUUGGACUCAUCAUUUGAAAAGUGCAGAGUUGCUCUUCAAGCUGAAACUUCAGCCCAAAUCAACUUUUACUCUCAUAAUGAUGAAAAGGAAACUGGCAGCUGCUUGGGGCAUAACAACCAACACAACCUUUGAUCUGAUCUUUUUCUGCAUCCUCACUUCUUUAUGACUCCUCCAUUACUUAGAGAUUGAAGGCUGGAGUGCAGUGGCAUGAUCACAGCUCACUGCAGACUUGAUCCCCUGGGGUCAGGAGGUCCUCGUACUUCAGCCUCCCGAGUAGCUGAGACAGACGACUACAGCAUGGAGUGAGGAUAGAAUAUAUUAUCAAUAGCUACAGCUAUUUCUAUCGAUGAUGAAGUUUCCAGACCUCAGUGCGCAAGAUACUGAUCUACAUCAUCCACUGACUCAUUCAACAAACAUGUGCUGAGUACUGGGCCCUGAGCUAGACACAGAGAUAAACGGAACAUAACCCUGGAUCUCAAAGAUCUUCCAUCCACUGGAGCUGAUAAUGCAUUGUAUCAUUUAAGGAUGCUCUUGGCUGCAAGUAACAGGAAACCUCAACUCAAAAUAGCUGAACAAUGAGGACACUUACAGAAAUGCAAAUUUACAGGAGUGGUGAGCUUCAAGGAUGGCCCAUUUGGUGACUCAGUAAUGGCCAAGAAUCCAGGUGCCAUCUGGUUGCUUCACUCUGCUUUCCAUAAUUUUGACCUCAUCCUAAGAUAGCAUGCACUCACAAUUGCAGGAUGGCUCCUAGUAGCAGUUUUGGCUACAUGCUUUUCUAUUCAUGCAUGACUGGAGAGAGUAAGCUUGGCCUCUCAUAGGUCUCUUGGUGCUAAGAGGAACUUUCCCGGAAGCUUCUAACAAACUUCUCUUUAUGUCCUGCUGGACAUAGUUGGGGCACAGAUCCCUUACUAAACCAGUGUGGAAUGGGACCCAUCAGCCUGUACCUCUGCCCCUGAAUUCCUUUCCUUUAUCUGUUCCUCCCUACCUGAGUGAAUGGGACCACCAUUCUCCAGUUGCUCAGCCAAAAACCACGAAGUCAUUCUUAACUCCUGCCCUUGAUCCAAUCUCCUCAACUAAUCCACCCUCACUCAUCCCUGACUGUUAGGGUUGAAUUGUAUCUAACCUCACACCUCCAGAUUUAUAUACUAAAGUCCUAACUCCCCAAACCUCAGAAUGGGUCCUUAUUUGAAAUGCGGUCAUUGCAGAUAUAAUUAAUUAAGAAGAGGUCAUAUUGGAGUAAGGCCCACCCUACUCCAAUAUGACUGGUGUCCUUUAUAGAAAGAGGACACAAAGACAGACACUGGUACAGAGUGAAUUUUGUUCCCCUCCAAACUUCAUAUGUUGAAGUCCUAACCCCUAGUACCUCAGAAUGUGACCUUAUUUGGAGACAAUCUUUACAAAGCAAAUAACAUUAAAAUGAGGUCACUAGAGUGGGCCCUAAUCCAACAUGACUGGUACCCUGAUAAAAAGGGGAAAUGUGGAGAUAGACAGGCACAGGAGGAAGAUGAUGUAAACAGGCAUGGGGAGAAGAUGGCCAUCUGUGAGCCAGAGAGAGAAGGCUGGAACUGAGCCUUCCUUCAAAGCCCUCAGAAGGAAUCCACUCUGCCAACACCUUGAUCUUGGACUUCUGACCUCUAAAACUAUGGAAUAACACAUUUCAGUUCUUUCAGUCACUCAGUCCAUGGUACUUUGUUACAGCAGCUCUAGAAAAGUAAUAUAUUGCCUAGCUUCCAAAAGGCUUCUCACCACUUCCACCAUUCCACCACUCAACCGGUCCAAACUGCCAUCCCCUCACUGGGGCUACCAGGACACUGAUUCCUGAGCCUUCAUCAGGGUGCUACCAGCAGCCUUCAGAAUGGCCACUAUGUUCUUUCUUAGUGGCUGGACAUUUACCUGACAUUGACCAUUUAGUCAAUGUCAAGGCUUUAUGUCCUCUAUUGGACAUUUAUCUGCCUUUUAGGCUCCCCAGCAUCAGAAGCCCUCUUCCCGCCUGGGAGACUUUCCUGCCUCAGAAUCCUGAGUGGGGAAACAGAGGACACAUAACUACAGAAGCCAAACAUGCCAGACACCCGCUCUCCCAGCAUCCUCUGCAGCUGGAAGUGGACAUGUGACCAAGGCUCAGCCAAUCAGAUGCUGGAACUUUGAUCAAGGUGCUACUGGGGCUAAGACAUGGGGCUGAGGAGGAUUCUCCAGCAGCAGAGGGAGCUCUGCUGGGAUUGGGUUUGGGGGCAGCAGCAGGGGAGCUGCAAUGUCCUGUGCCAGCGGUGCAGUCAAUGGCAGUGGUGGCUGCAGCGGAGCCCAUAGGACCAGCUCUGGGAGUGAUUUAGGGUAGUAUCUCCAGCUACAGAGCUUCCAGGCCUGGCUCUCCAGCCCUCCCACUGAUCCUGUGAGCAACCCACUCUUCUCAACAACUUUUUUGGCUUUAGUUGUUCCUUACAACUAUGGAAAUACAGAAACUCUAGCAAAGCAUAUAAAUAAUCUCACUUCACCCUCACGACAACCCUAGUGGUAAAAGCCCUCAUUUACAAACAAGGGGCCUGAGAGUUAUAUAACCCACCCACAGUCACGGCUUAUAUGCACUGGGAGGCUUUUGUGGUGGAGCUGCCAAACUUCAGGGCACAAAUACAACUGCUCCACAAACUGAACUCUUGAACUUAUGAUUAAGAUGUGAAAGUUAAGCAGAUAAACCUAAUGGUGCAUUUAUUGAUUUAAGAGUAAAUAUUGGCUGGGUGCAGUAGCUCAUGCCUGUAAUUCCAACACUUUGGGAGGCCAAGGCGGGCAGAUCACCUGAGGUUAGGAGUUUGAGACUAGCCUGGCCAACAUGGUGAAACCCCAUCUCUACUAAAAAUAGAAAAAUUAGCUGGGUGUGGUGGUGCACGCCUCUAAUCCAAGCUACUCUGGAGGCUGAGGCUGGGGAAUAUCUUGAACCCUGGAGGCAGAGGUUGCAGGGAGCCAAGAUUGCACCACUGCACUCCAGCCUGGGGGACUGAGCGAGACUCCAUCUAAAACAAAAAAAAAAAGAGUAAAUAUCAACUAUAUCAACUAAGCCUUUGCUUGGGCUGGAUACUCCGUCAGACCGUGGUGAAUACAGCAGCAACCACCCCCAAGGAGCACAGAGUCUAGUGGGAGAAACGGUGAUGAUUGCUAAGCGCAAGGAUUAGAGGGGCCACAGCAAGACAGGGGGUAGAGGCUGCCCCAAGAACUACUGCAAGUAUGUACAGAGUAAAGACCCUUCAGAGAAGCUGGCAUAAGUAAUGAGUAUCCAGGACUUCACAGACACCCCUCCUGCCACCUGAUAAACAGGAGACCUCCACAUGUGCAAGGUCAUUCUUGCACGGGAACUCGCUCCCCAUGGCACUCUUAUAGUAAUUCAAGCAAUUGCAGCUGUCUUGCAAGGAGUCAGGCUAAUACCCACCCUGGAAGACCUCAGUAAUGACUGGCUUCCUGGAAUUAAUGUAAGGAAAUGAAAAGGAUGCUGAUUGGGAGGAAAUUUUGUCUUUUCCUUUGUGUUGCACUGCAUUCAGGAGCCUGGUGGGAAAAGAGAGGGUUUUCAGCUCACCCACUACCAAGCAUUGCUUUGGGAGUCUGUGGAAGUUUCUUACUGUGACGUUGGGAAAUGGCUGACAGAAGCCUCUAUAGACUCUGGAGGGGCCAGAAGACUUGCUGCAUAGCCUAGGCCCUCUGCAGGAACACUUUUCUCAAAAGUUCCCUGAAAGCUGUUUGUAAGCCAAUGCUUUUGGCAACUGAACGUUUGUCUUCCAGGUCUGAAUUCAGCAAUAGCCCAGGUGAAAGGCCUUGUUACCACAAGGCUGAAGCCAGUGAUGAAGUUUGCUCAGAGAAUUCACUGCACUAACAUUCCCCAAGCUUGAGAUUUGUGAACCUCACCUAUGGCAAAACAUGACUGGUCACGCAUGAUACAGAAUGGGUGCUUAAAUAAGAAUUCGUUUUGAGUUUCUGCUGUGUGGCAGUAACCAUAUAAUAAUAAAACAGGUAACCCACACAUCAUAGUUACAAUAUGCUGUGUACUAUUCUAAGAACUGGAAGCAUACUGACUCACUUCUUACCCUCCACAAGGGUACUAUUUGUUACCUCUGUUUUGGGCAGAUGUGGUAUCUGAGCCACAGAGCCACAAGGGGCCCUCCCAAGCUCACACCAUUGGCAUGCGAUGUCACCAGGACUCAGCCCCAGGGAGCAGGGAUCCAGAGUCCAUCUCUUAACCAUUACUUUUUUCCAACUCUAAGUGUAGAAAAUAUAAAGAUGAUGAUAUCAAUACCUCUGUUUUAGGGGAGAAGAGGAGACAUGGAAUGAAGAUUGGUUGACUGCUGAGCAUGUAUCAGACAUUUGGAUAUCUCAUCUCAUUCAACCCUUGUAGCCAUCCUGAGAGGUUUCAUUCACAACAGAGAAGUCUGGAGUGGAGAAACACAUCCCAUAGCCAUGCCAAAGAUGGUAGAACUGCAGGGCCUGCUAGACCUCACAGUGCUCUCCUCUUCCUGGACAUACUGCCAGGCCACCUUACCCAGUUCCUUGCAUCUAGGUGGGGCCAUAUGACUACUUCUCAAGCAAGGAGUGUAAGUACAAGGGACAUGUGUGACCUCCACCAAGAUGCUGAGAAUGUGUUUGCCUGCUCCACGCUUGCUCCUGUCAGCUGGCCAGCCACAGAGGAACUAGCAGAGGACUCCAAAGUCCUAGAGAAUGGUGGAACCACUUCACUUAAGGAACCUGGGUCCCUGAAUGGCUUCAUGGAGCAGAGUGUUCCUGCUCAUCUCCUUCAAAUGAGGUGAUAUAAAUGGGAAUUUUCAUUGUGUUAAGCCACUGAGAUACAGGGCUUGUUUAUUAUAGCAGCAAGUUUGCCCUGCUGACACAAUCAACCUAACUACAGAGCCCAUGCCAUCACAAUUGCACUGUGACCUGAGGCUUCAAGAAGGAGGAGAGAUUUAGGCCAAGUCAUGAAGGCUUGGAGAUAUAAACCUUUACCUAGAGCUUUCCUUUUAUGUGUUGGGAGAACUCGAUCCUGUUUGAAGAAAACAAUCUGCAAUAAAAAUUUGCUUUAAGACC